Molecule: long non-coding RNA, 311 nt
Filed under: Homo sapiens (human)
Lineage: Eukaryota; Metazoa; Chordata; Mammalia; Primates; Hominidae
Description: HSALNT0359294
Source: RNAcentral
AGCGAUUCUCCUGCCUCAGCCUCCCAAGUAGCUAGGACUACAGCUCCCGCAUACCUCCACCUGCCAUAUUGGCCUGCCAUGGUAGGCCAGGGAGAGAGAAAAAGGAAGAAAAGAGAAGAGAAAAGAAAAAUGUGUUGCCUACUGCCCCUGCCUUUAUUGGGAUGGACAGCUGGAGUAAACAUCAUCCAGAAAGACUGGGACUCUGGGUCCUCUCAAACCCAGCACACCCGCACCACGAAUACCAGCCCCCAGCAAGAAACCUCUAAGCACUUUCUUUAAUGCCAGCAUUUCCUGGUUCCAAAUCCGAAGAA